Molecule: long non-coding RNA, 406 nt
Filed under: Mytilus galloprovincialis (Mediterranean mussel)
Lineage: Eukaryota; Metazoa; Mollusca; Bivalvia; Mytilida; Mytilidae
Source: RNAcentral
GGAAAUUUUGCCGUUUUUUGUUAUUAUCUUGAAUAUUAUUAUAGAUAGAGAUAAACUGUUAACAGCAAUAAUGUUCAGCAAAACAAGAUCUACAAAUAAGUUUCAUGACCAAAAUAGUCAAUUGAUCCCUUAAGGAGUUAUUGCCCUUUAUAGUUAAUUUUUAGCAUUUUUCAUAAAUUUUUGUAAAUUUUUAGAAAAUAUUUUCCACUGUAAUUACUGGGCCAAGUUCAUUAUAGAUAGAGAUAAUUGUAGCAACAAGAAUGUUCAGUAAAGUAAGAUCUACAAACACAUCACCAUCACCAAAACACAAUUAUGUCAUGAAUUUAUCUGUGUCCAUUGUUUAAUAUGCACAUAGACCAAGGUGAGCGACACAGGCUCUUGAGAGCCUCUAGUUUCUGAUAAGAAG